This is a long non-coding RNA of Trachemys scripta elegans, 2866 nucleotides long. RefSeq lists it as uncharacterized. NCBI's taxonomy places the organism in Eukaryota, Metazoa, Chordata, Testudines, Emydidae. The transcript has 3 exons. The record is from RefSeq and is a predicted model, not a curated record.
CCCUCCCCGGCACCCUGUUCCCUCCAGCACGGAGCACCCCCUUUCCUCCGGGCAGUCGACCCCCCUGCAGACAGCCCAGCGCCCACCGGUGCCUCCCGAGCGCCGUCCCGGAGCCGGCUCCCCGGCGGCAGGCGGCGGGGCAGGGCGCGGGGCUGCUUACCCGCUCUCCUCCUCCUCGAGCUCCGAGAUGUCCACGAAGAUGAGGAAGCCCACGAGCAGGAUUCCAAGUGAUGCCAGAAGAAUGAGGUCAGAACUUCCAGCCAGGACCUUCCCAUCAAAAGCCAAUCAUCUAGGUUUGAAGACAGAAGAACAGCUUGGGAUGCUGGAGGGUUCUGAUUCAGACCAUGUGGCAGUAGAGAACGAAUGGGAGAGGUGGUCUGUUGACAUCACCCCUUUAUGCCCUUGGUUUGGAGCAUGAGGAGGAGAAGAACACAGGCCAGACCAAUGGACAUUGCUAGCAAGAAUCCUAUGGUCUCAGAUGCAAGGAGCUCAUGCAUACUCCACAGUGUUACACACAUAAAAAUCAGCACUUGAAGAAGAACUAGGGAAUCCACCCAUUACAAUUACUUUGACUUCAACUCUAAACCGUACAUCCUUAUCUAAGGGCCUGCUUUCCCUGUGCACCCAAAACUCCCAUUGAAGUCAACUAUGGCAUUUUUAAAAUAAAAACUCCUUUAGUUUUUAGAAUUUCAGGACAUGGGAACCCACAUAAUACCAAACUAACAAAAAAGCUUGGAUGAAACAAACCACUAGAUCUCACGUAGACCUUCUCACCAGAUCUCCAGCCCAGUUUUGCAAACUUGAUGUCCCAAUAACUUGACAAGUACUCAGAAAAAUCAAUGUAAAUGUCUCGAUCUCAGCGAGUUUACCCCAGAGCUGGAUUUGAUGCCUGGACUUUGCAUUCAGUCAAACUCAUGAACCUUAUGAGGUUCACGCAUUCCUAGUGGGAAAAAAAAUCUCCGUUUAUACAUGGAAAUAUAGUGAUCAAUCAACUUUUAUCGCUCCAGCUUUCAUUAUAGCAGCUUAGAACAACAGAAUAAAAGCACGUAAUGAAAACAUUGUAAAAAUGUAAUAAAAACACACAAUACUUGACUGUGCAAGCACUGCUGUUUUAGCACAUCUUGGGGAACUGCACAGGAGAGAGCAGUCCAGUCUUCUGGUGUGCUGCCAGUAACCUCCAUAACAUACAUCACACUCUUUCCACUCCGGGAAUUGUGCUGAUUUAAACCACAGAAGUUAUAGGAGACCUUCAAAAUGUUUAGAUUCAGCAAAUACCUGAAAGGUCUCUGGAUGGGUUUUGUCGUCUUGGCUACGGAAAAGUUGGGUGGGAAAAUCGCUUGAGAACAGCCUUUCUCGUUGUACCAUGGAGCUUCCUGGAAAUAGCAAGGAGAGAAAAGACAGGUUCAGUUUGGGAUUGGAGGAAAGUUAGGGGAUGUGUGGGUAGGCAUGAUGGUCUUAAACAAUUUGACCUACCCAGACCCAUCUCUAAUUUAAACUUUUUGGACCAGAUUCAUCUUAGAUAUAAAUAGACUCAACUCCCAAAGUACCUGCCAAGGCCGGAUUUGGCUCUUCGUGGCUGGCUAGUAUCCCAAAGGUGCCACCCUCUUUGCUUUCAAGAGAUUAUUUCAUCUAAUCUAAUCCAGUCCAUGAAGCACUAUGGUAUAUGAGCACCUAACGAUCUCUUCCCCAGCUCUCAUUAUUAUAAUAUUCUGGCUCCAGAAUUAAUCCUUUCCCUCAUACAAUUUCAGUUUGAAAAAAAAAAGUGGGAAAUAUCUCCCAGGAUGGGAAGAUCUCAUUAGUUUCCCCUGCCCCCGUGUGGUAUGUUCAUACCCAUGUCUCUUUUCACAGUGAUAAAUAAAUCUAUGCAGCGAUUUUCCUGUGAGUUCCAAGAGUCCCAGAGAGUUUGCCUUUUAUUUUAAUAAUUAACACUUAAUUGAUUUUUUCACCUUCAAAAUGUUUCACAAACAUUAAAGAGACACUGUGAAUAUAACAGUCACUUUCUGAUUUGAAUAUUUUUUACCUGUUAUUACAAGUAACACCUAAGAUAACUGGACUGUAAGAGGUGAAAGAAAAUAUUAUUCUUGAUUUUGUUUGCUUUUGACAACAGUUUGAGCAUAAACAUUUCCACUGCUUCUGUGGAAGAGUCAGUCAUCCCCCCAACCUCCUCCCUUGUUUGUGUGGAUCUUUUUUAUGGACAAAGAGGAGAGAGAGAAAUUUAAAACAAGUUGAAGUCACUGGAGUUGCCCCAUUUACCCCAGCUCUGAAUUUGGCCCGAUGGAAUUUUAUUGUUCCUUUAUCUACCGGAAAGAAUGUUUAAAAGUUUAAUUGGCAUAUAACGAGAUAACUAUAACAAGUUAAUUAGUUCUCAAUUACGUUGCGUUUACCAUACGUUCUGAGUGUGCUCUUAGCAAUUAAGGACACCUAAUGAACUUGCUAUAGUGAUUGAGUUUGCCAUGUUAAGAAAACUAAAAUAAAACACAGAUAUAAAAAAUAAUGUGCACACAUAUUUUUAUAGCACAUUUGAAGCAAAGCAUGGUCUAGUGUGUAUGGACUUACACCUCCAGGGCUGCUGCAGAUUCUAUAAGGGAUAUGGCCAGUAAAUUUACUCUGGCACACCUAAUCAAAUCUGCUAUGAACCAGCUGGCUUUCAAGAUGGGCCUUACUGGAAAAAGUUUUCCUGGGAACAUUAUGAGAAUUUCAAAGGAAGAAGAGAGGAAAGGAAUCAAAGUUGCAUGAUGUCAAUCAGUCAUUCACCAUAGCUUUAGAAUAACAUAGUUCAGAUCAUUAAGGUGAUUGAAUGUGUUGGCGUGAACUGAAGACCUACUGUGUGACAACAGAAACUGCAGUGGAUGAAGGAAAAGGGUUA